This 1373-nucleotide ribosomal RNA is filed under the name uncultured bacterium. RNAcentral's name for it is "bacterial SSU rRNA". It matches the Rfam family "Bacterial small subunit ribosomal RNA", at positions 28 to 1381 of the family's 1533-position model. The record is from RNAcentral.
GAUGAACGCUGGCGGCGUGCCUAAUACAUGCAAGUCGAGCGAACGGACGAGAAGCUUGCUUCUCUGAUGUUAGCGGCGGACGGGUGAGUAACACGUGGAUAACCUACCUAUAAGACUGGGAUAACUUCGGGAAACCGGAGCUAAUACCGGAUAAUAUUUUGAACCGCAUGGUUCAAAAGUGAAAGACGGUCUUGCUGUCACUUAUAGAUGGAUCCGCGCUGCAUUAGCUAGUUGGUAAGGUAACGGCUUACCAAGGCAACGAUGCAUAGCCGACCUGAGAGGGUGAUCGGCCACACUGGAACUGAGACACGGUCCAGACUCCUACGGGAGGCAGCAGUAGGGAAUCUUCCGCAAUGGGCGAAAGCCUGACGGAGCAACGCCGCGUGAGUGAUGAAGGUCUUCGGAUCGUAAAACUCUGUUAUUAGGGAAGAACAUAUGUGUAAGUAACUGUGCACAUCUUGACGGUACCUAAUCAGAAAGCCACGGCUAACUACGUGCCAGCAGCCGCGGUAAUACGUAGGUGGCAAGCGUUAUCCGGAAUUAUUGGGCGUAAAGCGCGCGUAGGCGGUUUUUUAAGUCUGAUGUGAAAGCCCACGGCUCAGCCGUGGAGGGUCAUUGGAAACUGGAAAACUUGAGUGCAGAAGAGGAAAGUGGAAUUCCAUGUGUAGCGGUGAAAUGCGCAGAGAUAUGGAGGAACACCGGUGGCGAAGGCGACUUUCUGGUCUGUAACUGACGCUGAUGUGCGAAAGCGUGGGGAUCAAACAGGAUUAGAUACCCUGGUAGUCCACGCCGUAAACGAUGAGUGCUAAGUGUUAGGGGGUUUCCGCCCCUUAGUGCUGCAGCUAACGCAUUAAGCACUCCGCCUGGGGAGUACGACCGCAAGGUUGAAACUCAAAGGAAUUGACGGGGACCCGCACAAGCGGUGGAGCAUGUGGUUUAAUUCGAAGCAACGCGAAGAACCUUACCAAAUCUUGACAUCCUUUGACAACUCUAGAGAUAGAGCCUUCCCCUUCGGGGGGGCAAAGUGACAGGUGGUGCAUGGUUGUCGUCAGCUCGUGUCGUGAGAUGUUGGGUUAAGUCCCGCAACGAGCGCAACCCUUAAGCUUAGUUGCCAUCAUUAAGUUGGGCACUCUAAGUUGACUGCCGGUGACAAACCGGAGGAAGGUGGGGAUGACGUCAAAUCAUCAUGCCCCUUAUGAUUUGGGCUACACACGUGCUACAAUGGACAAUACAAAGGGCAGCGAAACCGCGAGGUCAAGCAAAUCCCAUAAAGUUGUUCUCAGUUCGGAUUGUAGUCUGCAACUCGACUACAUGAAGCUGGAAUCGCUAGUAAUCGUAGAUCAGCAUGCUACGGUGAAUACGUUCCCGGGUCU